This 435-nucleotide ribosomal RNA is filed under the name uncultured bacterium. Its description in RNAcentral is "bacterial SSU rRNA". It matches the Rfam family "Bacterial small subunit ribosomal RNA", at positions 105 to 573 of the family's 1533-position model. The record is from RNAcentral.
GGUGAGUAACACGUGACUACCUGCCCUUGAGUGGGGGAUAACCUCGGGAAACCGAGGCUAAUACCGCAUAAAAUCGCAAGAUCAAAGGAGCAAUCCGCUUUUGGAGGGGGUCGCGGCUGAUUAGCUAGUUGGUAGGGUAAUGGCCUACCAAGGCAAAGAUCGGUAUCCGGCCUGAGAGGGCGCACGGACACACUGGAACUGAAACACGGUCCAGACUCCUACGGGAGGCAGCAGUGGGGAAUUUUGCGCAAUGGGGGAAACCCUGACGCAGCAACGCCGCGUGGAGGAUGAAGGCCCUUGGGUCGUAAACUCCUUUCGACCGGGAAGAUUAUGACGGUACCGGUGGAAGAAGCACCGGCUAACUCUGUGCCAGCAGCCGCGGUAAUACAGAGGGUGCGAGCGUUGUUCGGAAUUAUUGGGCGUAAAGGGCGCGUA